GACGAACGCUGGCGGCGUGCCUAAUACAUGCAAGUUGAGCGCUGAAGGUUGGUACUUGUACCAACUGGAUGAGCAGCGAACGGGUGAGUAACGCGUGGGGAAUCUGCCUUUGAGCGGGGGACAACAUUUGGAAACGAAUGCUAAUACCGCAUAAAAACUUUAAACACAAGUUUUAAGUUUGAAAGAUGCAAUUGCAUCACUCAAAGAUGAUCCCGCGUUGUAUUAGCUAGUUGGUGAGGUAAAGGCUCACCAAGGCGAUGAUACAUAGCCGACCUGAGAGGGUGAUCGGCCACAUUGGGACUGAGACACGGCCCAAACUCCUACGGGAGGCAGCAGUAGGGAAUCUUCGGCAAUGGACGAAAGUCUGACCGAGCAACGCCGCGUGAGGGAAGAAGGUUGUCGGAUCGUAAAACUCUGUUGGUAGAGAAGAACGUUGGUGAGAGUGGAAAGCUCAUCAAGUGACGGUAACUACCCAGAAAGGGACGGCUAACUACGUG
This 497-nucleotide ribosomal RNA is filed under the name uncultured bacterium. Its description in RNAcentral is "partial 16S ribosomal RNA". It matches the Rfam family "Bacterial small subunit ribosomal RNA", at positions 28 to 507 of the family's 1533-position model. The record is from RNAcentral.